GGAGAGGUGCUAGAGUGGUUGAAUAGGCUCGCCUGGAAAGCGUGUAGGGGGAAACCCCUCGCGGGUUCGAAUCCCGCCCUCUCCGCCA
RNAcentral lists this transfer RNA (88 nucleotides) under Chloroflexota bacterium. RNAcentral's name for it is "Chloroflexi bacterium tRNA-Ser". It matches the Rfam family "tRNA". From Rfam's summary of the family: Transfer RNA (tRNA) molecules are approximately 80 nucleotides in length. Their secondary structure includes four short double-helical elements and three loops (D, anti-codon, and T loops). Lineage: Bacteria; Bacillati; Chloroflexota. The record is from RNAcentral.